This 406-nucleotide ribosomal RNA is filed under the name uncultured bacterium. RNAcentral's name for it is "partial 16S ribosomal RNA". It matches the Rfam family "Bacterial small subunit ribosomal RNA", at positions 30 to 526 of the family's 1533-position model. The record is from RNAcentral.
AUUGAACGCUGGCGGCAGGCCUAACACAUGCAAGUCGAACGAGCGGCGGACGGGUGAGUAAUGUCUGUGAAACUGCCUGAUGGAGGGGGAUAACUCCUGGAAACGGUAGCUAAUCCCGCCUACCCUCAGAUGUUCCCAGAUGGGCUUAGCUAGUUGGGGGGGUAAUGGCUCCCCUAGGCGACGAUCCCUAGCUGGUCUGAGAGGAUGACAAGCCAAACGGGAACUGAGACACGGUCCAGACUCCUACGGGAGGCAGCAGUGGGGAAUAGUGCAAUAUGGGAGCAAGCCUGAUGCAGCCAUGCCGCGUGUAUGAAGAAGGCCUUCGGGUUGUAAAGUACUUUCAGCGAGGAGGCGUUACGCGCAGAAGAAGCACCGGCUAACUCCGUGCCAGCAGCCGCGGUAAUUC